GACGAACGCUGGCGGCGUGCUUAACACAUGCAAGUCGAGCGGAAAGGCCCUUCGGGGUACUCGAGCGGCGAACGGGUGAGUAACACGUGAGUAACCUGCCCCCUUCUCUGGGAUAAGCCUGGGAAACUGGGUCUAAUACCGGAUACGACCACCGUGGGCAUCUUCUGGUGGUGGAAAGUUUUUCGGUGGGGGAUGGGCUCGCGGCCUAUCAGCUUGUUGGUGGGGUGAUGGCCUACCAAGGCGACGACGGGUAGCCGGCCUGAGAGGGCGACCGGCCACACUGGGACUGAGACACGGCCCAGACUCCUACGGGAGGCAGCAGUGGGGAAUAUUGCACAAUGGGCGGAAGCCUGAUGCAGCGACGCCGCGUGGGGGAUGACGGCCUUCGGGUUGUAAACCUCUUUCACCAGCGACGAAUUCAGACGGUAGCUGGGGAAGAAGCGCCGGCUAACUACGUGCCAGCAGCCGCCGUAAAAC
Molecule: ribosomal RNA, 477 nt
Filed under: uncultured bacterium
Lineage: Bacteria
Description: bacterial SSU rRNA
Rfam family: Bacterial small subunit ribosomal RNA
Source: RNAcentral